AUCCAAUACAAAUCCAAAAAACGACCAUAACACAAACAAGUCUCCAAUCAAUCAUUUCUCUCUUAAGUCCAAUCUUACCCGUCUCUCUCCGUAACAAAGUCCAUUCCUUUUCUCUUCCUGUCUCUUGAUGGGAGAUAAUUAUAAUUCGUCUCCCAUCACGAGCCAAACCCUAACCCUAUCUCAAAAUAAACCCUAAUUAACCUUCCAAAUCCAAAUUUCACGAUGUUUUCGUGGAAUUUUGCAAAAUCGGCGGAGGCUGUACUGUCGCGGUUGGCCGUGAAGAGGCUGUGCAAGUUUGUAUUGAAGAAGAAAUUAGGGCAGUUUAUAUUAGGAGAUAUUGAUCUUGAUCAGCUCGAUGUUCAAAUCAGUGAAGGCACUAUCCAACUCAGUGAUCUUGCUCUUAAUGUUGAUUGUCUUAAUGAAAAGUUUGGGGUAGCGGCAUCAGUGAUGAUAAAAGAAGGGUCAAUUGGUUCAUUGUCGGUUAAAAUGCCACGGAAGGGUAAAGGUUUUCAGGUUGAGUUGGAUGAGCUUGAACUUGUACUUGCACCCUGUUUGAAGAAAUGUAAUACACCAGCUGGAGACGAGACUGGUAGUUGUAGUCAAGAUAGUAGACAUAGGCAGAAGGAUGUGGGAAAGUUUGGGAAUGAUUUGAUGGAAAACGCCGCAAAAUCUAGUCAUGUUGAUGUUCAUGAAGGUGUAAAGACAAUUGCAAAGAUGGUGAAGUGGUUUUUGACGAGUUUCCAUGUAAAGGUUAAGAAGUUGAUUGUUGCAUUUGAGCCGUAUUUCGAGAAGGACGAAAAGAAGGUUGGGUGUCAAGAAACUUUGGUCCUCAGAGUACCUGAAAUAGAGUGUGGAACCUGUGUUUCUGAAGACCCUAACUUGAGUUCUGAUCAUGGAGUUGAGAACUUUCUUGGGAUAAGUCAUUUAACGAAUUUUGUGGAGUUUCAAGGUGCAGUACUUGAACUUCUCCAGACGGAUGGUGUUGACAAUCAAAGUUGCAGUCCAUGUGUGUCAGAUUCAAGUUUUAGUGAGCAGUUUUUUGGGCGUUGCCGAUCAAAUCCUACAACUCCUAUUUUGACAGGGAAAAAAGGUGGAUUUUCAGGGAAUUUGAAGUUAAGUAUUCCUUGGAAGAAUGGUUCAUUAGACAUUCGCAAAUUGGAUGCUGAGGUAUGUCUUGAUCCUAUAGAAUUAAGACUUCAACCAAGCACAAUCAAGUGGUUCCUACUUUCAUGGGAAACUUGUAAGCAUAUCGAUAAAGAUGGUGGGGGGGAUGCACAUUAUAGAUCAACAGAAUCUGUCUGCUUCAAUUCCUCUUCUCAUUUCCAUUCAUCAUUAUCCAGUCCUACUGUGUUUGCUAUUGAGAAGUCAAUCCCUGUUCAUGGUAGUUUUACAUCUGCCUUCUCAUCUUUUACCGGGAAAGAAUCAAUCAGUGAAGCAAUGGUAUCUGGAUCACAUCUUAUAUCUGACUGGGUGCCAAAUUCUAUUGAAAACGAGAAAGAUGGUAUCCAAGAAGAAUUAGACCUUGGAGCAAGUGUGGACCAGUUUUUUGAAUGUUUAGAUGGAAUGAGGAGCUCACAAUCAGCUUUGGGAAGCAGUGGGAUGUGGAACUGGACAUGUUCUGUUUUCAGUGCAUUAACUGCAGCAUCCAGCCUUGCUUCUGGAUCUUUUCAUAUUCCUUCUGAAGAUCAGCAUGUUCAAACAAACCUUAAAGCGACUUUGGCUGGAAUUUCUAUCUUGUUAUCCUUUCAGGAUGAUGAUCAGGAAGACUUGUAUGGUCAAAAGAGUGACCAGAAUGCUGUUGAUUUGGAGGUUCAUUGUCUGGGUGCAGAGUGCAAAGAUAUUUUUGUUGUUUUGCAGGUAUGUCCUCAAGAAAAGAGGUUUGAAGGAACAGUGAAGUGCAUUGAGGUUGCUGAUUACUUGUACAAUAAAAAUGAUGCCAUGAAUCUUCACUUGCGGGAUUAUAGUAGUGAUAGCAACAGUGGAACUGUUUUGAUUCAAAAUCUGCAAGCUGAAGUUCAAGGUGCUCUCCCUCCAUUUCCUUAUUUGGAUGAAUCAAGUACAUUAGUUGUACCAGGAGUUCCAUCUGGAAAUGCAACCAAAGUGAAAUUGCUCGGUACCUCAGGUGUCACUCGGUGCCAAUUUACUGUAAGUUCUAACUCGUCAGAUAAAAGUUUUACAGGGACAAAGUCACUUUCAGUGCAACUGCCGCUGUUAAUAUUCUGGGUGAACUAUGGUUCAGUAAACAUGAUACUGAGUCUCCUGAAGGAUGCUGAAAAAUCUGUUGAAAUGAGUGCCCAGAGGAGUGGAUUUCCAUCUGUCAAUAAGAAGCGUGAAUUUUCUCAUGGAAAUAUGAAAAAAGGUUCAAGUUCUGGGGUUUCAACGUUAACUUGUACAGAAAAUUUGCAAGGUAGUAUAUCAAUCCCUUGUGCAAGAGUAAUACUAUGUUUCCCAUUUGCAAGUGGUGGAGAUGUUGGAGGCCACUCUUCCUGGAAUCAAUUUAUUGCUUUUGAUAUUUCUUCACCAUUAACUUUGGAAGAGGGAAAAGUUCUAGAAAAUAGUCUAACAUCGAAUUCCUGUUCAUGGAAAAGGCAAGCUCCAAGGGCCACUGGUUCUUUGCAUUUGAAUGUUGGUAAUCUCGAGGUUUAUUUGGUCAAUCCAGCAUGUAAGAAUGAUGGAAUUAGCUCGUCUACUGUAACACCAAGGCGUAAAUUUUGUGCGCAGAAGAUUGUGUCUGUCAGUAAUAGAGCUGGUUCUCUAUGUGCAAUUAAGAUGCUUUGGCAGGAAGACCCUGUGGCUGGUCCUUCUAUUGCUGAGAUAGCCAAGUCUUUGGCGGCUCCAGAGAGCAGAAGAAAAUUCAUGGUGAAAGGCUAUGAGUUUGCUAGUGCAACUGCUGUCAAAGAUUUAGGAGAUUUAAAUUCGCGAACCAGAGAGGAGAUAAUUUUGAGCUCUGCAUUCUUCUUGCAUGUUCAUCUCUUUUCUGUUAUGGUUGAUGUUAGCACUUCUCAGUACAGUAAUCUGCAUUGCCUUCUAGAUCAGAUGAUUAAUGGAUUACCAGGCAUGGCCUGCGAUGCAGUCAGUGUUGGGGAAUUGCCAUCAGUCAGUCGAACUUCAAUUCUUGUGGAGUGCGAAUCAGUAGAUUUUUCAAUUAGACCAGAUACAAAGGAUGAUAUAAAAAGUUCAUUACAGAGUGAACUUCCUGGAUCAUGGCAUUGUUUAAAAUUGAAAAUCCGAAAAUUUGAGAUGUUGUCUGUCUCAAAUAUUGGAGGUAUCAGGGGUGCCAAUUUCUUUUGGCUAGCCCAUGGAGAAGGUAAAUUGUGGGGUUCCAUCACUGGAGUUCCAGAUCGAGAGUUUCUUCUGAUUUCUUGUAGCAACUCCACUAGGAAACGUGGAGAUGGAGGAGGUUCCAAUGCAUUGUCUUCUAGGUUGGCUGGUUCUGAAAUUAUACACAUAUGGGAUCCUAAGAGGUCACAUGAUUUCACAUCUGUUACUGUCAGAUGUGCCACAAUUAUUGCUGUUGGUGGUCGCUUGGAUUGGCUGGAUGCAAUAUCCUCCUUCUUCACUUUGCCAUCUCCUGAAGUUGAGAAGGCAAGUGAUGGAAGUUUGGCAAAGGGGGAUUUGAAUGCCCCUUCUGAAACUUAUUUCAUUCUAAAGUUGGUUGAUAUCGGUAUAAGUUAUGAGCCCCACUUGAAGAAUUCGGUAGUUGGGGCUCUUCAUUCCGAGAUUGGUUCCUUGUAUUCCAAAGAAGAAACAGGUGAGCCACAUGUUGCCUGUGUAUUAGCUGCAUCUUUGUUUUCACUUUCCAACACAACAAUGGAAGAUUCUAUUGAUAGUGAUUACAAAAUUAGAGUGCAAGAUGUGGGGCUGCUUCUUGGUGCAGCACAUGAUCAUGGUGGGACUUAUAGUGUGGAAUAUCUUCAUAAGAUGGGUUAUGCGAAAGUUGCUCAUGAGGCCCUGUUUGAAGCAAUUUUGAGAACUGACUGUAAGAAUGGCCUUCUCUGGGAGCUAGAAUGCUCAAAAUCCCACAUUUAUGUGGAAACUUGCCAUGACACAACUUAUGGUUUGAUUCGCUUGUCUGCUCAAUUCCAACAGCUUUUUGCCCCUGACUUGGAGGAAUCAGUUGUGCACUUGCAGAAUAGGUGGAAUAGUGUUCGUCAGGCCCAAGAGAGAAACAAGUUAAAUGAUGAAGGCGGGAUUUCCAAUCAUGAUUGUGUCCCAUCAACUUCUCAAGUGCAUGACCCUACUGCAGAUACGAAGAGUAAACUUGGGGUGGCUGGUUUAAUGGAUGAGAUAUGUGAAGAUGCGUUUCACUUGCAUGGGACUCAGGCAUGCCAGCUUGAUUCUAAUGGAUCAGAAAUUCAUGUUUCACUUGAUGAAAGUCUCCUUGGAGAGGCUUGCAGCCUCAGUGUUGAAACUCCAGACUUUUUCUCGGAUGAUCUCUCUUAUGAUGGGUCAGUGCCUUUGGCAGGCCUGGAAAGUAGUCAAACCACAUUUCUACAGAGUGGUUCUUUCCCAGAAUUUAUAGAAGGUUAUUACUUGCCUGAUUUAUGUCCUUUGCCAGAAUUGUCAAUAGGCAGGCAAACACCAUCUGAGAAACUUAAAUGCAAAUCCAAGAAUUUUGACGAUGCAGAUCAUGGCAGAGGAAAUGGUGGAUGGUAUGGGGAUGCCCCUUUAAGCAUUUUUGAAAAUCACAUUUCUGGAGCAAGUGGUGAAGCUAGUGUGAAUCAGGUUUUGGAAGACCAGCUUCCAACUAUGUAUUCUGAUGAUUUUGGGAAGGCCACCGGAAGAGUGCUUUUUAAGAACAUUAAUGUGAGCUGGAGAAUGUAUGCUGGUUCUGAUUGGCAGGUACAUAAAAGGAAUGGUGAUCCUUCUAGUCAUACUUGUGGACGGGAGACAACUGUUUAUCUGGAGCUUGCAUUAUCUGGAAUGCAAUUUCAAUACGAUGUCUUCCCAGUUGGUGGGAUAUAUGCGUCUAAGCUUUGUCUUUCAGUUCAGGAUUUUCAUCUUUAUGAUGGGAGUAAAACUGCACCUUGGAAACGGAUACUAGGAUAUUAUCAUUCAAAAGAUCAUCCUAGGGAAUCCACUUCCAAAGCAUUCAAGCUGGACUUGGAAGCUGUCAGACCAGAUCCUCUAAUUCCUCUUGAGGAAUACCGGUUACGCAUAGCUUUCCUUCCUGUGCUAUUGCAUCUUCAUCAAAGCCAGCUUGAUUUUCUCAUUAGCUUUUUUGGGCCCAAAAGCUUGUCAGCAGGCCAGUCUUCAGAUCAAGAUCAAAACUCAGACGGUGCGAAGACUUCUGCAACAAAUAGCAGUAAUCUUGCUGGACAUACAAUUGCAAAUGAAGCAUUGCUUCCCUUUUUUCAGAAGUUCGACAUAUGGCCUAUUAUUCUUCGAAUUGAUUACAGUCCCCAUCAUGUUGAUCUGGCAGCAUUGAGUAGUGGGAAGUACGUGGAACUUGUGAACCUUGUCCCCUGGAAGGGGGUUGAACUACAGCUAAAACACGUUCAUGCUGUUGGUGUCUAUGGCUGGGGCAGUGUAUGUGAAACAAUUAUAGGGGAGUGGUUGGUGGAGAUUUCUCAAAAUCAGAUACAUAAAAUUUUGCAAGGUCUUCCUACCAUCCGGUCCUUUGUUGCUGUGGGUUCUAGUGCUGCAAAGCUUGUUUCCUUGCCUGUUGAGAGCUACAGGAAGGAUCAUAAAAUAAUCAAGGGAAUGCAAAGAGGUACAUUUGCAUUUCUAAAACGUAUAUCACUUGAAGCUGUUGGACUUGGGGUACAUUUGGCAGCUGGGGCUCAUGAUAUUUUGCUCCAAGCAGAAUGUAUUCUUACAGGUGCUCCUUCUGCUCCUGUAUCAUGGUCUUUACCAGGCAAAACUAAAGCAAAUGUAAGGUGCAAUCAACCAAAAGAUGCCCAGGAAGGAAUUCAGCAUGCGUACGAGAGUCUCAGUGAUGGACUGGGAAAAUCUGCUUCUGCUUUAGUGCGAGCUCCAUUUAAAAAAUACCAGCUUGGAGCCAGUGCAGGGUCUGCCCUGGCAACUGCUGUGCAGGCUGUUCCUGCUGCUGCCAUAGCUCCUGUUUCUGCUUGUGCAGGUGCAGCCCAUUGUGCUCUUCUUGGCCUUAGAAAUAGUCUUGACCCUGAACACAAAAAAGAGUCCAUGGAGAAAUAUCUGGGUUCCACAAAGCCAAAUGAUUGAGAUUGAUUGAAAUGCAUGAUGAGACCAUUGCAUGACAAAUGGAUAGAGAAGGAUUCUUGCUGCUCUCUUUCCAAGAGAAGGUCACGGGAGACCUCUGUUGUCACCAUAGCCGACAUGUACAAAGUAAAAAUGACAUUAGAAGCUCUGGUUUUGGCAUUUGCCAAGCCCUGCUGAUGAUUAUUCAGCUGUGAAGGUGUUGAUGUCCGUGAAUGCUGUUGAUCAACUUCAUCUAUUUUUCAUUGCUGAAGUAUCAAGGCUUACAAUUUAUUACUUUCAGUAUCAAAUUUUUAUGUGGUAGUUAGAAAUACAAGAAUGGAUUUAUGGUGUAUAACAUAUCCAUCCAUUGUUUGACGCCCAGUCUAUGCUCUAUAGUAGUAUAUAAAAUCAAACGACAAGUGUUUAGGUUUCUGAACGUUCUCCUUGCCAAUUAAAAAAGAAGGCAGCCAUCUUGUAUGUUGU
Populus trichocarpa (black cottonwood) is the source of this 6642-nucleotide RNA transcript. It is a transcript of the gene named autophagy-related protein 2, with no coding region annotated. The transcript has 14 exons. NCBI's taxonomy places the organism in Eukaryota, Viridiplantae, Streptophyta, Magnoliopsida, Malpighiales, Salicaceae. The record is from RefSeq and is a predicted model, not a curated record.